CUUUUGGACUUUGGUAACUACGUUUGUAUGACGGUAAGGUGCAAACAUUUCUGGUCGAUGAUGUGAGGCGUUUUUGAAAUAAAAACAGUAUUAUUUUAUUUUUUUGAAACGAAAGAACAUUGAUCAGAAUAUGCUUGAUCAUGAAAUGGUUGUUUAUAACCGAUAUUUGUUAACAUUCUGACAAACAACGUAGUAACCGAGACACCGUUUCCCAGUUUAUCACGAGGAACAUCCGGUGUUAAACUUCAACGUUUCUUGGUUUAAAUUGUGGAAUUGCAAGUGGUGCUGAACCAUGUAGCCAAGAUGUGCACAACCACUACUCAUGGGAUUUUGCCCAGCAAGUCCACUAUCCACAUCAUGCCAACAAGUUGGGCCGAUAUAUUUCGCCACCCCACAGAAGUGUCAUGUGUUUCGCAUGUGUGCCUUAGGUUCAGCUAUGUUUUUAUGGAAAGUAGACAUUUUAUCUGGUGGACGAGGCCUAAUUGCCGGGGAAAGGAAGUGACAGUGUCGUGAGCCUGGCCCACCACUACUUUCAGCACUAUGGUGUCGGUGAAAAACAUGCUGAGGUUUAUUUCGAUAAUGCUGUCGGCCAAAACAAGAACAAUGCUGUGCUUUGGUAUGCCAUGUGACCUGUAAUGACAGGUAAGUUUUCUUAUCUGUUAAUAAUUGUUUGUCUGAUUUUUUAGGACAAAUGCACUGUCUUUUGAAAUCAAUCACAUCAUUGAUAUCUGCGAUUGGUGCUUUAAUUUUAAAGGAUGCAGAACUGGAUGAAGUUAAAGUGUAGUUGGCAGUAAUUUGAUAUGAGGAAUAUGUUAACUAAAUAAACAUAUGUUAACACUCCAUUAUUGUAAGAUUUAUAUGUCUUGAAAACUUUAUUAUA
Long non-coding RNA from Mya arenaria, 880 nucleotides. RefSeq lists it as uncharacterized. Lineage: Eukaryota; Metazoa; Mollusca; Bivalvia; Myida; Myidae. The transcript has 4 exons. The record is from RefSeq and is a predicted model, not a curated record.